This 436-nucleotide long non-coding RNA is filed under the name Macaca nemestrina (pig-tailed macaque). Its description in RNAcentral is "lncRNA (ENSMNEG00000045701.1)". Lineage: Eukaryota; Metazoa; Chordata; Mammalia; Primates; Cercopithecidae. The record is from RNAcentral.
CCGCGAGGAUCUGCGUGCCUGGCUUUGAUGCGGGGAUGCCCUUCGUAUGAUUAGACUGGAACUAAGUAGCCUGGAACAAACACCCUAAUCAGGGAGCAGGGAGCUCACGGAUGUCAGGAGAACAGGGCACGGUUUUCCACGGGAUGUGCCAAAACCAUGGUCAAAGGAAGUCAGCGAAGGCAAACUGUUUCUCACUUGGAGCUUGCCUCACUGUGAUGGCUCAUGAGGGACUCCCAAGAAGGCAGCCAACUCUGUGCAGUCCAUUCUGCAGGCCUGGAGUGCUGUUGGAUGAUCCUGAUGUCAAAGUAGGAGGUCCCUGUGGGAGGCGAGUGUGAAGGAAGUCAUCUGGGGUGGGUAAGUGGGUUUGCUAAUCAGGUUUGAAAGUGGAGAGAAGGGUGAGGGUGUAUCAGGGACCUUUUAAAAAUUUAUACCCGGU